UCCGAGGCCAACACCCAGGUGAUACCUUCAGCACUAAGUGAGUGCUUGCUGGGAAACCAGAGCUGGCCAGAGCGCCUCCUGUCUGUUCCAGAGCCCGGGGUCUGGGCUUCGCAGGAGGAGCCAGACCUUGAUGCUGGACACCAUCUACCUGGUGCUGAAGCUGUGAAGCCUCCGAGGACCAGCGGCUGGACGAGCUGUUGCAGAAGGGGACCCAGGCCACUUCACCAGCCCCACUCAGCUCUGCAAGCACCGUGAGGAGUUUACCACAUUCCCCUCCCCAUGAGAACAUUUUGCAUUGUUCUGUUCUUCAAGCUAAUGGAGGAAAAACACCCUGAUGGACAUGAGCCACGUUGGACCCACACUCACUGGGCUUGGCAAAGGGUGAAGAAAUCAGGAGAAUGGAGAGAAAUUCCACAGGUGGAUGGCAAUGUGCCACUUCAGCUCCGCCUGGUGCCUGGCAUCCCCUCCAUCUGGGACAUGGGGACCCUUCUCUAAAGAAACCCAAAAGCUUCAGGGAAAUAUCAAGACCAGGGAGGGACCAGAAGCCUCAGCUCCCUGCUGAUUCCACUUUAAGUCCUGUCCAUUGAGAAGGGGUUGCAAGAGACUUGUUAAUGUCUCUUGUUUUGUUUUUCUUUUUAGUUGCUUUAAUAUGGGCAUCAGCUACAUAUUAAAAAUAAAUAUUUUUUAUUUUUUU
Bos taurus (domestic cattle) is the source of this 694-nucleotide long non-coding RNA. The record is from Ensembl. NCBI's taxonomy places the organism in Eukaryota, Metazoa, Chordata, Mammalia, Artiodactyla, Bovidae.